UACGUAGGUGGCAAGCGUUAUCCGGAUUUAUUGGGCGUAAAGGGAACGCAGGCGGUCUUUUAAGUCUGAUGUGAAAGCCUUCGGCUUAACCGGAGUAGUGCAUUGGAAACUGGGAGACUUGAGUGCAGAAGAGGAGAGUGGAACUCCAUGUGUAGCAGUGAAAUGCGUAGAUAUAUGGAAGAACACCAGUGGCGAAAGCGGCUCUCUGGUCUGUAACUGACGCUGAGGUUCGAAAGCGUGGGUAGCAAACAGG
This 253-nucleotide ribosomal RNA is filed under the name uncultured bacterium. RNAcentral's name for it is "partial 16S ribosomal RNA". It matches the Rfam family "Bacterial small subunit ribosomal RNA", at positions 524 to 776 of the family's 1533-position model. The record is from RNAcentral.